RNAcentral lists this ribosomal RNA (253 nucleotides) under uncultured bacterium. RNAcentral's name for it is "partial 16S ribosomal RNA". It matches the Rfam family "Bacterial small subunit ribosomal RNA", at positions 524 to 776 of the family's 1533-position model. The record is from RNAcentral.
UACGUAGGGUGCAAGCGUUGUCCGGAAUUAUUGGGCGUAAAGAGCGUGUAGGCGGCCCGACCAGUCCGCUGUGAAAGUCCAGGGCUCAACCCUGGAAUGCCGGUGGAUACUGUCGGGCUAGAGUCCGGAAUGGGCGAGUGGAAUUCCUGGUGUAGCGGUGAAAUGCGCAGAUAUCAGGAGGAACACCUGUGGCGAAAGCGGCUCACUGGACCAUAACUGACGCUGAUGCACGAAAGCUAGGGGAGCAAACAGG